Molecule: non-coding RNA, 102 nt
Filed under: Lysinibacillus macroides
Lineage: Bacteria; Bacillati; Bacillota; Bacilli; Caryophanales; Bacillaceae
Description: SAM-I sequence
Rfam family: SAM riboswitch aptamer (S box leader)
About the family: The SAM riboswitch is found upstream of a number of genes which code for proteins involved in methionine or cysteine biosynthesis in Gram-positive bacteria.
Source: RNAcentral
CUCUUAUCAAGAGUAGCUGAGGGACUGGCCCAAUGAAGCUCGGCAACCUCCUUUUCGGAAGGUGCUAAAUCCUGCAAACAGAUGAUGUUUGAUAGAUAAGAG